ACCGUUCUUAUCGAGGGUAGUUGGACAUGUCAAUGAGCGUAUUGCGAGACCUGUCUUGCUAACACCCUUUAUACAACCAUUUCACCCAUCCUUUAGAGGCUCUGGGUAAUUUUUGGUUCC
Molecule: small nuclear RNA, 120 nt
Organism: Hydractinia symbiolongicarpus
Lineage: Eukaryota; Metazoa; Cnidaria; Hydrozoa; Anthoathecata; Hydractiniidae
Product: U4atac minor spliceosomal RNA
Exons: 1
Source: RefSeq, a predicted model, not a curated record